UGCAAGUCGAACGGAGCUUAGAGAGCUUGCUUUUUAAGCUUAGUGGCGAACGGGUGAGUAACGCGUGAGUAACCUGCCCUAGAGUGGGGGACAACAGUUGGAAACGACUGCUAAUACCGCAUAAGCCCACGGUACCGCAUGGUACUGAGGGAAAAGGAUUUAUUCGCUUUAGGAUGGACUCGCGUCCAAUUAGCUAGUUGGUGAGGUAACGGCCCACCAAGGCGACGAUUGGUAGCCGGACUGAGAGGUUGAACGGCCACAUUGGGACUGAGACACGGCCCAGACUCCUACGGGAGGCAGCAGUGGGGGAUAUUGCACAAUGGGGGAAACCCUGAUGCAGCGACGCCGCGUGGAGGAAGAAGGUUUUCGGAUUGUAAACUCCUGUCGUUAGGGACGAUAAUGACGGUACCUAACAAGAAAGCACCGGCUAACUACGUGCCAGCAGCCGCGGUAAAACGUAGGGUGCAAGCGUUGUCCGGAAUUACUGGGUGUAAAGGGAGCGCAGGCGGGAAGACAAGUUGGAAGUGAAAACCAUGGGCUCAAUCCAUGAAUUGCUUUCAAAACUGUUUUUCUUGAGUAGUGCAGAGGUAGAUGGAAUUCCCGGUGUAGCGGUGGAAUGCGUAGAUAUCGGGAGGAACACCAGUGGCGAAGGCGGUCUACUGGGCACCAACUGACGCUGAGGCUCGAAAGCAUGGGUAGCAAACAGGAUUAGAUACCCUGGUAGUCCAUGCCGUAAACGAUGAUUACUAGGUGUUGGGGGAUUGACCCCCUCAGUGCCGCAGUUAACACAAUAAGUAAUCCACCUGGGGAGUACGACCGCAAGGUUGAAACUCAAAGGAAUUGACGGGGGCCCGCACAA
Molecule: ribosomal RNA, 859 nt
Filed under: uncultured bacterium
Lineage: Bacteria
Description: bacterial SSU rRNA
Rfam family: Bacterial small subunit ribosomal RNA
Source: RNAcentral